Molecule: ribosomal RNA, 433 nt
Filed under: uncultured bacterium
Lineage: Bacteria
Description: partial 16S ribosomal RNA
Rfam family: Bacterial small subunit ribosomal RNA
Source: RNAcentral
AGCGAACGCUGGCGGCAGGCCUAACACAUGCAAGUCGAACGGAUCCUUCGGGAUUAGUGGCGGACGGGUGAGUAACACGUGGGAACGUGCCCUUUGGUUCGGAACAACUCAGGGAAACUUGAGCUAAUACCGGAUGUGCCCUUCGGGGGAAAGAUUUAUCGCCAUUGGAGCGGCCCGCGUCUGAUUAGCUAGUUGGUGAGGUAACGGCCCACCAAGGCGACGAUCAGUAGCUGGUCUGAGAGGAUGAUUAGCCACACUGGGACUGAGACACGGCCCAGAAUCCUACGGGAGGCAGGAGUGGGGAAUCUUGCGGAAUGGGCGAAAAGCUUACGCAGCCAUGCCGGGGGAAUGAUGAAGGGCUUAGGAAUGGAAAAUUUUUUCAGCCGGGACGAUAAUGACGGUACCCGCAGAAGAAGCCCCGGCUAACUUCGUG